This 328-nucleotide ribosomal RNA is filed under the name uncultured archaeon. RNAcentral's name for it is "bacterial SSU rRNA". It matches the Rfam family "Archaeal small subunit ribosomal RNA", at positions 1 to 334 of the family's 1478-position model. The record is from RNAcentral.
UUCCGGUUGAUCCUGCCGGCGGGCACCGCUAUCGGUAUGCGAUUAAGGCAUGCGAGUCGAGAGGUGCAAGACCUCGGCUGACGGCUGAGUAACACGCGGAUAACCUGCCCUGAAGUGGAGGAUAAUCUCGGGAAACUGAGGAUAAUACUCCAUAGGUGUGGUAUGCUGGAAUGCUUCCACGCUUAAAGCUCCGGCGCUUCAGGAUGGGUCUGCGGCCUAUCAGGCUGUAGUGGGUGGUACGGACCCACUAACCUACGACGGGUAGGGGCGUUGAGAGACGGAGCCCCAGAUGGAUUCUGAGACACGAAUCCAGGCCCUACGGGGCGCA